AACAUGAUUUGGAGAGAGUGGUAUAAACACAUAAAAAACACAAGCAUUUCAAUAUUGGUUAUUUUCCUCUUUAUUUUGAUUUUAUUUUGAGGAGGCUGGAGAAUGAAAUAACGUCUUCGGAAACAGCUUAAACAAGUCAGUUCAAGACAAUCUCUGGCUCUUUCUGAAGGCAACAUUAUAAGGCUUCAAAAAUAGCACAGUGAGCCAAGAGAAACUGCAAAGACACCGCUGUGGGAUGGUGAUUUGGAUAUAAAAUUCUCUGAGCCAGGGUGUGAUAAGCUGUUGGACCAUCUUAGACAACCAUCUAGACCCUGGAGCCAUUGUAGUUUGGGUAAGAAUGCUUAAGUAAGGGGUGGGGGACAGAGAAGGAUGUUUUGGGGAGGGGUAUCAAUAUUCUUUCUAUGCUUUUGCACCCAAGUACCCGGGAAAUCUUCUAAGACUAUGUUUAUGCAGUACCUUCUAUGUGUUAGACCACUGUGCCCUGCACCUUCUUAUGUUCUCCUAUUUAAUCCUUUCAGUGAGUCUUUGAGCAAACUCCUGUCCCUGCAACCGGAAUUUCCCCAAGUUUUACCUGUCUGAGGGCAGAGAUGAAGUCCUGUUAAUACUAACACCCAAAUUGCAAUGACCCUUUGCCCCUCCCUGUGUGAGAACAGCCCUUCUAGUCCUCCUCCAUGCCUGUCUCAGGAGGGUCAGAAGCAAGGCUGCUUCCUUUUUUCCAGGCUGACUCCUGCCUUGCUGUGGUCAGCACUCCUCCUGCUGGAAAUGCUUUCUCUGAGCUUUACUGCCAAGUAGAUCUUCAAUGGGCUGGGAGCUGCCCUUGGACCCCUUUGCCCAAGAUCUGAAUUGAGGGCAGUGGCAGCAUGGGGUGCUGUAAAGGGCAAGAGGGAUUCAGUUUAAAGGAUGACUGCAUUCCAUCUCUGUGGAGCCCCUUGAAGUACGCAGCUGAUGUACACGGCUUGUGCUACUAAUUCCCAGCUCCAUCUCCCCUGCCUCCCUCUGCCCCACCAAUUAUUGCUUGUCAAGCUUCUGUUCCUAACUCCUCGUUUCAUAGGGACUCAGGUCAUGGGAGGAGACACAGGCCAUGCCUCUUUAGUCUGUUCCUCUUCCCUAUCCCUUCUUCUUUCAGGCAUCCUAGCGCUGUCCUUUCUCCUCUACUUAGCCUUCUUUCUUUAGAUCGAAGAUCAAAAACUCUCAAGCAUUUCAACUCAUGCAGUGAACAUCUGAAGGGAUCACGGAUCCACCAGUUCCACAGAUUACCAUACUCAUUCCACAGAUGACCCACUUGGGAAUCAGCUUGGGAAGCGAGUUAAAAGAGUUCCCGAGCUGUGACGGAAACACAGGGCAGUGACCCCAGAGGGCACCCCACUUUCCAGUGCACAGGGUUAGACAUUUCCUUGUUUCUGACUCAGCUCACUUUAGAAAGAUGACUUUUGUCAUCAAAAACCAUUCUCCAUACCUAAUAUUUAAUGAUUCUGAGGAAAGAAAAAUAAGAAGCCUAGAAAACUAUUCUGAAUUAUAAUGCUCGAAAACUUCAUGUUAUUUGAAAAUUAAUCAUAUGCAGGGGUACUGAAAGGCAUCAUACCAAGAAAAUGGUACCUACAGAACAAUGGAAUCUGUCAGGAGAAACUUCCAUUUUCAUGACACUUUGAAGGAAGCAGUGAUUUAUUAUUUCCAGAUAUAUGAUUAAUUUUUAAAUGUUUUUAAUUGUGUGUUUUAUGCUUUGUUGAACAAUGCACUUUAAUCUACACAUUGUAAUUUGCUGGAACAUCUGAGUUUGCUUCACAACUCAACUCUUUUAAGUUUCACGAAGGAUACUGUGGUGCCCUGAUCUCUGGCCAAGGCUCUAUGGUCUGUGCUCUACUCUGCAGCCUAUGACAGGUUACAACCACAUUUAUAGUAGAGAGGCCAAGACCAGCUGCAGUUUCCUUCUCUUCACUCCUUUGAAAAUGUUUGCAUUGUAACUGCCACUCUUACUCCCACUGUGCUUAAUGUCCCUGACAAAAUAUUAAGGCACCAGAAUUAAGACAAAAUAUUAAGGCACUGUUUAAUAGUAGUACAAACUGUAACACCUUAUUGAUGCUUUUAACUUUUAAAGCACUUUGCUCACAUGAUCAUAUUUUAUGCUGAUAACAAUUCUAUAGCUCGUAGCUGUGACACAUAUGGAUUUGUUGUGAGUCAUGCCCAAAAUCCUCUAUGUUGUUGGUGUCCUGACUCACAAUCCUGAGCUCUUUCAUUGGACUCUGCUGACUUUAACAGAUAUGAUCAGAGGCCUUGACAGAAUGACUUGGUUAAUAUUUCUAUCAUGUUGAAAAGUCAUUUAGAAA
This is a long non-coding RNA of Macaca mulatta (Rhesus monkey), 2324 nucleotides long. RefSeq lists it as uncharacterized. The record is from RefSeq and is a predicted model, not a curated record. Lineage: Eukaryota; Metazoa; Chordata; Mammalia; Primates; Cercopithecidae.